This is a long non-coding RNA of Aquila chrysaetos chrysaetos, 409 nucleotides long. RefSeq lists it as uncharacterized. NCBI's taxonomy places the organism in Eukaryota, Metazoa, Chordata, Aves, Accipitriformes, Accipitridae. The transcript is spliced from 4 exons. The record is from RefSeq and is a predicted model, not a curated record.
CCUUCUGCAGCAUGAGGUGUCUCUGUCCACGGGGGGAACAAAGCAGGGAGCCAGAGGACAUGUCCUGGCUCCAGACACUGAGGACUGGCCACCACAGCAGGGACAAAUGACAAGGAUGACCAGAGAUAUGAACCAGCUUCCUCAACAAGAAUGAAUAAAGAGACUGGGGGUCUUCAGCCUCCGAGACUGAAAGGAGAUGAAUUCACACAGUCAAGCAGAGGAGAUAUGAAUUUUCUGGGACUUUGGAGCUGUCGUUGCUGAGAGAACUGAAAACAUCAGCUAAGAAUAUCAGGUCACACAACCACUCGAUAUUACUUAAUCGAGAGCAGCUGGGAGCCUAAUGCAGACACUAGGAAGAUGGAAAGGUCCCUGUGUCUCCAGGACGCAACCCUCCCUGCAGCGGCAGGUG